GACGAACGCUGGCGGCGUGCUUAACACAUGCAAGUCGAACGGAAAGGCCCUGCUUUUGUGGGGUGCUCGAGUGGCGAACGGGUGAGUAACACGUGAGUAACCUGCCCUUGACUUUGGGAUAACUUCAGGGAACUGGGGCUAAUACCGGAUAGGAGCUCCUGCUGCAUGGUGGGGGUUGGAAAGUUUCGGCGGUUGGGGAUGGACUCGCGGCUUAUCAGCUUGUUGGUGGGGUAGUGGCUUACCAAGGCUUUGACGGGUAGCCGGCCUGAGAGGGUGACCGGCCACAUUGGGACUGAGAUACGGCCCAGACUCCUACGGGAGGCAGCAGUGGGGAAUAUUGCACAAUGGGCGGAAGCCUGAUGCAGCAACGCCGCGUGCGGGAUGACGGCCUUCGGGUUGUAAACCGCUUUCGCCUGUGACGAAGCGUGAGUGACGGUAAUGGGUAAAGAAGCACCGGCUAACUACGUGCCAGCAGCCGCGGUGAUACGUAGGGUGCGAGCGUUGUCCGGAUUUAUUGGGCGUAAAGGGCUCGUAGGUGGUUGAUCGCGUCGGAAGUGUAAUCUUGGGGCUUAACCCUGAGCGUGCUUUCGAUACGGGUUGACUUGAGGAAGGUAGGGGAGAAUGGAAUCCCUGGUGGAGCGGUGGAAUGCGCAGAUAUCAGGAGGAACACCAGUGGCGAAGGCGGUUCUCUGGGCCUUUCCUGACGCUGAGGAGCGAAAGCGUGGGGAGCGAACAGGCUUAGAUACCCUGGUAGUCCACGCUGUAAACGGUGGGUACUAGGUGUGGGGUCCAUUCCACGGGUUCCGUGCCGUAGCUAACGCUUUAAGUACCCCGCCUGGGGAGUACGGCCGCAAGGCUAAAACUCAAAGGAAUUGACGGGGCCCCGCACAAGCGGCGGAGCAUGCGGAUUAAUUCGAUGCAACGCGUAGAACCUUACCUGGGUUUGACAUGGAUCGGGAGCGCUCAGAGAUGGGUGUGCCUCUUUUGGGGUCGGUUCACAGGUGGUGCAUGGCUGUCGUCAGCUCGUGUCGUGAGAUGUUGGGUUAAGUCCCGCAACGAGCGCAACCCUUGUUCACUGUUGCCAGCACGUUAUGGUGGGGACUCAGUGGAGACCGCCGGGGUCAACUCGGAGGAAGGUGGGGAUGACGUCAAGUCAUCAUGCCCCUUAUGUCCAGGGCUUCACGCAUGCUACAAUGGCUGGUACAGAGAGUGGCGAGCCUGUGAGGGUGAGCGAAUCUCGGAAAGCCGGUCUCAGUUCGGAUUGGGGUCUGCAACUCGACCUCAUGAAGUCGGAGUCGCUAGUAAUCGCAGAUCAGCAACGCUGCGGUGAAUACGUUCCCGGG
This 1343-nucleotide ribosomal RNA is filed under the name uncultured bacterium. RNAcentral describes it as "16S ribosomal RNA". It matches the Rfam family "Bacterial small subunit ribosomal RNA", at positions 28 to 1378 of the family's 1533-position model. The record is from RNAcentral.